RNAcentral lists this ribosomal RNA (599 nucleotides) under bacterium enrichment culture clone F61x_D48_T3_H06. Its description in RNAcentral is "bacterial SSU rRNA". It matches the Rfam family "Bacterial small subunit ribosomal RNA", at positions 321 to 913 of the family's 1533-position model. The record is from RNAcentral.
GAGACACGGCCCAGACUCCUACGGGAGGCAGCAGUGGGGAAUUUUGGACAAUGGGCGCAAGCCUGAUCCAGCAAUGCCGCGUGAGUGAAGAAGGCCUUCGGGUUGUAAAGCUCUUUUGUCAGGGAAGAAACGGUGGAGGUUAAUACCUUCUGCUAAUGACGGUACCUGAAGAAUAAGCACCGGCUAACUACGUGCCAGCAGCCGCGGUAAUACGUAGGGUGCAAGCGUUAAUCGGAAUUACUGGGCGUAAAGCGUGCGCAGGCGGUUGUGCAAGACAGAUGUGAAAUCCCCGGGCUCAACCUGGGAAUUGCAUUUGUGACUGUACGGCUAGAGUGUGUCAGAGGGGGGUAGAAUUCCACGUGUAGCAGUGAAAUGCGUAGAGAUGUGGAGGAAUACCGAUGGCGAAGGCAGCCCCCUGGGAUAACACUGACGCUCAUGCACGAAAGCGUGGGGAGCAAACAGGAUUAGAUACCCUGGUAGUCCACGCCCUAAACGGUGUCUACUAGUUGUCGGGUCUUUAUUGACUUGGUAACGCAGCUAACGCGUGAAGUAGACCGCCUGGGGAGUACGGUCGCAAGAUUAAAACUCAAAGGAAUUGA